GAAAUGCGAUACGUAAUGUGAAUUGCAGAAUUCAGUGAAUCAUCGAAUCUUUGAACGCACAUUGCGCCCGCCAGUAUUCUGGCGGGCAUGCCUGUUCGAGCGUCAUUUCAACCAUCAAGCCCCCCGGCUUGUGUUGGGGACCUGCGGCUGCCGCAGGCCCUGAAAAGCAGUGGCGGGCUCGCUGUCACACCGAGCGUAGUAGCAUACAUCUCGCUCUGGGCGUGCUGCGGGUUCCGGCCGUUAAACCACCUUCGUAACCCAAGGUUGACCUCGGAUCAGGUAGGAAGACCCGCUGAACUUAAGC
Molecule: unclassified non-coding RNA, 304 nt
Filed under: plant metagenome
Description: partial contains 5.8S ribosomal RNA, internal transcribed spacer 2, and large subunit ribosomal RNA
Rfam family: 5.8S ribosomal RNA (bases 1-105)
Source: RNAcentral